AAAAACUAUAAUAAAUAGAGUUGACUACUAAUCAGCACUGCUAUGUGCUAGGCACUACCCUAAAUAUUUAAUGCAAAUGAUCUAACUCAAUCUAUUUUAAAACCCGAGGUAGACCCUAUUAAUAUUUUCAUUGUAUAGAUGAGGCUCCGAGGCACAGAGAGAUCACUCAGUUAGUAAGUGGUAGAAUCAGGAUUCAGUCCAGAGCAGCUGACUCCAGAACCUACACGGCUAAACACAAGGAUACUGGAGUCGACUGCCUGGCUUCAAAUUCUGACUCCAUAUAGAGCACUUAGGUUACUGCCUGCCACCGGAGCAAAAGAUAGUUUUUCCCCACUUCUGCCAUCAAUUGAGAUUAGAGAAUCCACUCUGUCCUGAGACUGAUAUCCUGACAUGAUGAUGGAAAUAAUCAAGAGCCCAGUAGGGAAAGCUGCACAGGAAGAACAGAGAAAUAUUCCUAAUAUAUUAUCUCUGAGCCAAAGUCAUGGAAAUAGAUAAGAGCACCUUGAGGGAAUGUGGGAUGAGAAGAGAAGAGAAGAGAAGAGAAGAGAAGAGAAGAGAAGAGAAGAGAAGAGGAGAGGAGAGAAGAGAAUGUGGUGAGUGAGAAGAAGAUGGCAAAGGAAAUGAGCCAGCAAAAUAGAAUAAGAAAAGAUAAAAACAAUAUAAAAGAAAUAAAAAUGAAGAAGCAAGAGAAAAUGGUAUUUCUGAAAGCAAGAGAGCAUUUGUCUUCCCUUGGCCAUAUCACAACUAAAUCGUCCCUCAGUAUGAAAAUAGAGUACCAUUCUUCUAGUUUUGGAAUGAAUAAAUCAUGGGAACAAAGGCACAACAUAGGGAAUACAGUCAAUGAUAUUGCAGUAACGAUGUAUUAGGACAGAUGGUAGCUACCUACACUUGAGGUAAACAGCAUAAUGCAUAGAGAGGUAGAGCCACAGUGUCGUAUACCUGCAAAUAAUGUAACAUUGUGUGUCAACUAUAAAAAAUUAGAAACUAAAAAAACUUCCUCCCAAAAACAACAACAAAAAGAAAAUACACAACCAGGUGAAAAAAGAUAAACAUCUCGGCAGUAACAGUUAACACUUAAACAAACAAACCUAUGUUCUUGUUUCACCCUAAAAUUAACUUCUUUUAAUUUAAAUUGUAUUAUUCUGGAUUCACUGACGAAAUCUACAAUUACUUGAAAGCUGCCAUUCUUAGAUAAGCUAUUAGGCAUUAGACAUGCAUUUAAAUGGAUAGUUUUAAUUUUUUAUUUCUUACUUCAUAAUGAAGUAUUCUGGAAAGAAAAACAGUAGUACAUUCAGAUGCUGCUAUACACAGCACAUGCUUUUGUCAUAGAUAUUGUUCAAAAAUGGUUUUGGAAGAAUUAAUAAAUGAAUA
Molecule: long non-coding RNA, 1371 nt
Organism: Neofelis nebulosa (Clouded leopard)
Lineage: Eukaryota; Metazoa; Chordata; Mammalia; Carnivora; Felidae
Exons: 3
Source: RefSeq, a predicted model, not a curated record